Molecule: ribosomal RNA, 500 nt
Filed under: uncultured bacterium
Lineage: Bacteria
Description: partial 16S ribosomal RNA
Rfam family: Bacterial small subunit ribosomal RNA
Source: RNAcentral
AUUGAACGCUGGCGGCAGGCCUAACACAUGCAAGUCGAGCGGUUGACGGGAGCUUGCUCCCUGAUUCAGCGGCGGACGGGUGAGUAAUGCCUAGGAAUCUGCCUAUUAGUGGGGGACAACGUUUCGAAAGGAACGCUAAUACCGCAUACGUCCUACGGGAGAAAGCAGGGGACCUUCGGGCCUUGCGCUAAUAGAUGAGCCUAGGUCGGAUUAGCUUGUUGGUGAGGUAAUGGCUCAACAAGGCGACGAUCCGUAACUGGUCUGAGAGGAUGAUCAGUCACACUGGAACUGAGACACGGUCCAGACUCCUACGGGAGGCAGCAGUGGGGAAUAUUGGACAAUGGGCGAAAGCCUGAUCCAGCCAUGCCGCGUGUGUGAAGAAGGUCUUCGGAUUGUAAAGCACUUUAAGUUGGGAGGAAGGGUUGUAGAUGAUUACUCUGCAAUUUUGACGUUACCGACAGAAUAAGCACCGGCUAACUCCGUGCCAGCAGCCGGAGUAA